UACGUAGGGGGCUAGCGUUGUCCGGAAUCAUUGGGCGUAAAGAGCGCGUAGGCGGCCAGAUAAGUCCGGUGUGAAAGUCACAGGCUCAACCUGUGAAUGCCGCUGGAAACUGUCUGGCUAGAGUCCGGGAGGGGCGAGUGGAAUUCCCGGUGUAGCAGUGAAAUGCGUAGAUAUCGGGAGGAACAUCUGUGGCGAAGGCGACACCCUGGACCAGCACUGACACUGAGGCACGAAAGCGUGGGGAGCAAACAGG
RNAcentral lists this ribosomal RNA (253 nucleotides) under uncultured bacterium. Its description in RNAcentral is "partial 16S ribosomal RNA". It matches the Rfam family "Bacterial small subunit ribosomal RNA", at positions 524 to 776 of the family's 1533-position model. The record is from RNAcentral.